GGGUUGUGAGGUUAAGCGACUAAGCGUACACGGUGGAUGCCCUGGCAGUCAGAGGCGAUGAAGGGCGUGCUAAUCUGCGAUAAGCGCCGGUAAGGUGAUAUGAACCGUUAUAACCGGCGAUACCCGAAUGGGGAAACCCAGUGUGACUCGUCACACUAUCAUUAACUGAAUCCAUAGGUUAAUGAGGCGAACCGGGGGAACUGAAACAUCUAAGUACCCCGAGGAAAAGAAAUCAACCGAGAUUCCCCCAGUAGCGGCGAGCGAACGGGGAGGAGCCCAGAGCCUGAAUCAGCAUGUGUGUUAGUGGAAGCGUCUGGAAAGGCGCGCGAUACAGGGUGACAGCCCCGUACACAAAAGCGCAUGUGCUGUGAGCUCGAUGAGUAGGGCGGGACACGUGGUAUCCUGUCUGAAUAUGGGGGGACCAUCCUCCAAGGCUAAAUACUCCUGACUGACCGAUAGUGAACCAGUACCGUGAGGGAAAGGCGAAAAGAACCCCGGCGAGGGGAGUGAAAAAGAACCUGAAACCGUGUACGUACAAGCAGUGGGAGCCCCACCACCAAAGCAUUAUCUGGUGUUGAAGGCCCUGCAAAGCAGCAUCGCGGUGGCGGAGCGUCGUUUGCGACGCCCAACACACAAAACAAGCGGUGAAUGCUUUGGGGUGGGGUGACUGCGUACCUUUUGUAUAAUGGGUCAGCGACUUAUAUUCUGUAGCAAGGUUAACCGAAUAGGGGAGCCGGAGGGAAACCGAGUCUUAAUUGGGCGUUAAGUUGCAGGGUAUAGACCCGAAACCCGGUGAUCUAGCCAUGGGCAGGUUGAAGGUUGGGUAACACUAACUGGAGGACCGAACCGACUAAUGUUGAAAAAUUAGCGGAUGACCUGUGGCUGGGGGUGAAAGGCCAAUCAAACCGGGAGAUAGCUGGUUCUCCUCGAAAGCUAUUUAGGUAGCGCCUCGUGAAUUCAUCUCCGGGGGUAGAGCACUGUUUCGGCUAGGGGGCCAUCCCGGCUUACCAACCCGAUGCAAACUGCGAAUACCGGAGAAUGUUAUCACGGGAGACACACGGCGGGUGCUAACGUCCGUCGUGAAGAGGGAAACAACCCAGACCGCCAGCUAAGGUCCCAAAGUCAUGGUUAAGUGGGAAACGAUGUGGGAAGGCCCAGACAGCCAGGAUGUUGGCUUAGAAGCAGCCAUCAUUUAAAGAAAGCGUAAUAGCUCACUGGUCGAGUCGGCCUGCGCGGAAGAUGUAACGGGGCUAAACCAUGCACCGAAGCUGCGGCAGCGACGCUGAUGCGUUGUUGGGUAGGGGAGCGUUCUGUAAGCCUGCGAAGGUGACCUGUGAGGGUUGCUGGAGGUAUCAGAAGUGCGAAU
Molecule: ribosomal RNA, 1366 nt
Filed under: Salmonella enterica
Lineage: Bacteria; Pseudomonadati; Pseudomonadota; Gammaproteobacteria; Enterobacterales; Enterobacteriaceae
Description: partial 23S ribosomal RNA
Rfam family: Bacterial large subunit ribosomal RNA
Source: RNAcentral